Molecule: ribosomal RNA, 4213 nt
Filed under: Triticum aestivum (bread wheat)
Lineage: Eukaryota; Viridiplantae; Streptophyta; Magnoliopsida; Poales; Poaceae
Description: partial small subunit ribosomal RNA
Source: RNAcentral
AUCUUCUUCCACAUAUGAUAGUGGAUCGAUCAAGCCCUUUGCAACACCACCAUCACCACACCUGCAAACAGCUGACCCGAUAGGUUACAGAAGAGAAGAGGUAGCCAUGGAGAAGAGCAGGCUAGUAUCGAGCAGGGACACCGUAUUGCCCCAGGGUACUGGGUUAGAUGGAUCUCACCUGCAAGAUAGGCGACAAUCCUGGCGGCGAGCUCCCUGAUCUCUCUAUCGCUGCUUCUCCACCCCAGUGUAUCGAUCAGCUUCACAAUCUUUGGCCUCGAGGGAAGAAGAAGUGAUCUUACAUCUGCAUCCAGCUUAAUGAAGGUGUCGAGCAUCCUUGCCCCCGAGAGAUAGUCUUGCUGUGAUUCAGAGCCCAGCAAGUCGACGGCGUAGUGGAUCAAUUUCCUGCCAUGGAUGGACGCAGGGUCCCGCCAGCAUUUCGCCUGUGUGUCCAAGAGGUACUCUGAGACCGAUCUGCUGCCCCACUUCUCUGGGAACUUGCAUGCUCGUCGCAGAAAAACGACAGGCCACAUCUCCCCAUGAUGGAGCCACAGCCAUAUAAACAAGAAUGCACCUUGGCAGAGAACCAAAGAAUAGAAUAUGUCUAGAGCUGGCAUCAGGUUUGCUUUGCUGCCAUCUCCAUCGUUGCUUCCAUAAUCACGCUGUAUUAUGCGCCACCAUGAGAGGACGACGCAGACAAAAUGCCCAAAAAAGUAGACGAGCUGUAUAAGGUACACUAAGCCCAGGAUCACAAAGAUAACAGGAAGGCAUAGGAUAAAACUCCAUGAAAAUGCAGUGUAGCAACUCCGAGGCAGCUCUUUAGCAUCAACUUUCUUCCUAAGAUCCUGAUUGAUUCUCGCCCACCACCCACAAGCGUUGAGCCACAGUUCAAGAAAAUGAGAGGACAGGAUGUCCUCAAAGUCGUUGAAUAUCCUGUGUCGCCAUAGCAAAUGCAUAGUCAGGGCCCAGACACCCUCGUUGACAGUCAGAUGGUGUUUGGUUAAAGAAAAACAAUGAGAACAUCUAACUUAUAAAGGAUGAAGGGGUAGGUAGUCACAACGAAGGCAUCGAGCGCACGGUACCACGCGAAGGAAAAAAAGUCCACCGUAUCGCGCCGCGCGUGGGUUGCAGCGCACCACGCGAGCACACCGUGCGAGGUAGAAAACGGCAUCGCGCCCCUCGCUCCUCCCUCCCUCGUCCGCCCCAAUCCCCUCCCCUCCAACCCUAGCCGCCCCGCUCCCCUCCCUCUCCACGGCGCCGCCGCCUCCUCCCCUUCUGCCCUGCUAUCCACCGUGCCGCCUCUUCCUCCUCUUCACUGCCCUCUCCAGCGGCGGCAAAGAACGGCGGCGCUCGAUCCGAUCUGCUGAAGAGAAAAGAUGAGAGAGGAAGAGAGACAAGGAAGGAGAGGAGGGAGAAAGAUCUCCCUCAUCGUCCUCGUCGCCAUCUGCCACUCCUCUGCCGUGCCCAGACCGCGGGAAGAAGCCGAGAAGGGAGGCCGGCCGGCGGCGGCCACGCUCGACAAGAUCCUCGCAUUAGCCUCAAGGGAGAGGAGGUCUACGUCCCCCGUCCGUGUGAAGGGCGCGAACCAGGGCAGUGAAGGCGCAGGGCGCGAACGAGAGGAGAAGGUUGAGCAUCCCGCCGACGACAUCGUUUCGAGCUCAAGAUGGUCUACAGAUACAUGCAACAAUUGAGGUUUCAUGUGCAAGGAAGCAAAGAAGAUGCGAGACCGUUUUUCUUUUGGAAUAGAAGAAUCAAAGGAUACACCGACCGAGUCAGUCUGAACUUCGAUUAAAUAUGAUAUGCGUGUUUACAAAUCUUUCCUUCAUGAAUAUUUUGAAACCUUCACAUUAUGCUGAUAUGUAUUUUCUGGCAGAGCAGUCUUCAACAUUGACGGUUACCAUUUUUAUUUUUUAUCUCAGCUCAUGAGAUUUCUCUACUGUCCUGACACAAAUUUACUCUAUAUGAUGAAUCCAAGGCUCAGUAUAAGGAUUUCCUGAUUUAUUAUUUGCCGCAUCUGGUGUUUCUCAUCUUAGCAUGAAUUUGAAGUGUCACCUUUUGCAUCCAAGUAAUACUAUUGGUUCACAUUGAUCCUAUCUACCAUGUACCAAAUCACUCACUUUUCUAAAUAUUGAUAUGGAAUUAACCUUUGGUUACAACCCUAUUUGGUUUUGAGUUACAAAAUGUCCUUAUUUAAGAUUUUGCUUCUUAACAUGUUGCGUUACCAGCUCAUCCACUGAGGAUUUUGAAAUAUGAUAGUACUCUUCCUAUGUUUUCUUUAUCUUUUAUUUACAAGUUAGUUCUAUUGUGAGGAGAAGCUUUGGAAGUGGUUAAUCAGUUCAGUAAGAUAAUUUGAGGUCGACGAGCAGAUUGAUUGCUCAUAUAUCCACCUUAAGAUGGCCACAACGUAUUUCAGAUUUUAGCACAUUAGCUGCCAUCGUUUUGUGAUUUCAGAAAUAUAUUUCAUGUGCUGGAUGGCCUCACUCUUUUAUUGGGUUGUUUUCAGUUAAAGGUUAGAAGACAUGCCAAAUAAUGGAUACUUCUCAAUCAAAUGAACAAACAUGCUAUCCGCCGAGCUUCAAGACUGAAGGGAUAGAUAACCACAACUUCUAAUGACCUAUACCAGCGAUUGAUUGUAGCAUACUGGAUUCCUAAUGCUGACAGGAAUAGCCGCCAUGGCGAUAUUUACAGGCUGUGCACUGAGAUCGAAUAGUCUACAUCAUGCCUCUGGUCGGAACAAAUAAAAAAAAUUGUGGGCUGGACUGAAGUAUCGAAACACACUUGGGAUUUCUGUUUCCUGUAACAUUUUAUUUGGGGAGUUUGUGACUUCUAGACCUGAAUGGUUGUGCAUGGACCAGAAUAUGAAUGAAGGAUACUUUAGUAACAUUUAUGUAGAGGUUGUGACCUCCAUAUCCAUUCGUUUUUGCUCUGAUUCUUGGGAGUAAUCCUGAUUGAUUUGAUGUAUUUGGUUAAUUAGGGUGACAUUUUUUUGGCUGAUUUGGCUGACAAAUUUGAUACUUAUGUGAAUUGUUUGGAAGUUUUUUGGCUGAUAUGCGUCGUUGUGGUAGUUCUUCAGCUAAUUGCUCUGCUCUGCGGUCGAGGGGGGAGCCGCCAGAGAGAGAACCAAUCAAUGCACAAGGAGUCGAUAGUUUCAGCAUAAUAUUAGGCUUCUCCAUGUGAUGUGGUACUCUUGGGAUGAUGAUGGUUACACGAGGGUGGUCUUUUUUGCAGGGCCAAUGAUGUGUGCAAGGACGGAAAGAGGCAGUCGAUCAACGCUGAAGACGUCUUCAAGGCGCUCGAUGAGAUCGAGUUCCCAGAGUUUGUAGAUCCCCUGAGGACUGCACUGUUAGGAGGUUUGGUAGGUUUGAGCAUCUGACUUAUAAUCUAGGUUGAUGGUGUUUGGCAUUAUUGGUUCAAUCCACGUGGAGGUCCUCGCCAUCAUUGCAGCUGCGGGACAAGAAGGCAAGGAGUUUGUGCGCCUGGCUUACCUCUGUACAAAAUAAACUGCAGAUACAAAAAAUGAAAAAGCAGAGCACUGUUAUUUCUCCAUACUCUGCAUCCCCAUCUGAGUCACUCUCUCUAGAAGCAGGAAUGAUUAUACUUCAACCGACCAUGCUCAGCCUAGAAUAACACCACAACAUACAGUAGUAGUUAAGCAACAAAACCUAAGCACUUCCCGUCAUUGUUUGCUUUCUCAUGUUUUUGUUUGCUUCAUUGUGUUCCUAUUUACUUGCAUAUAGAAGUGAGCAAAGUCGAAGUGUUUUGGGUGUUACAAAAGAUUGUGAAUAUUUUGCCUUUAUAGCUCUUUUUUUUAUUGACUCAGUUUUUAUGUAAUUUCAAAGCACUUCAGAUGUGUUAGGCUGCAGCAAGAGGCUGGAACAGAUCUUUGUGCUAUGACGAGUGUUUGCUUCAGUCAAUCCAAAAUACCUCUAAAACUACAGUUUCAUUUGUUUGUCCGGUGUACAUGAGAAGCUCCAAUUUUGUCGGGAAUAGCCACUGGAGAAAGUAGUGAUUGGGUUUAUAUGGGAUAGUUAUGUAUGUCCAUUGUGUGAUGGGAAAUACAAUGCAGUAGUUAAUUGUCACAUGGCUUCUCAAUAGUGGCUUCUCAGUAAAAAUGUUAUAUGAUGUAUGAUAGCCAUGAGUAUGAUGAUUUUUUGGAUGGGCGGUAAGCUUCCCAUGUUUGAUGUUUUUUUUACUUUUUAAAAUUGAACGAUGCUGG